Rodentibacter rarus is the source of this 377-nucleotide non-coding RNA. NCBI's taxonomy places the organism in Bacteria, Pseudomonadati, Pseudomonadota, Gammaproteobacteria, Pasteurellales, Pasteurellaceae. The record is from Rfam.
CGAGUUGGUUAGACAAUCGCUGGUUUAUUGAAGCCCUUAACCGUGUUCGCACGACCUAGUGGGACAAGUAAACGAGAGGAAAGUCCGAGCUACACAGGGCAGAGUGCCGGAUAACGUCCGGGAGGCGUGAGCCUACGACCAGUGCAACAGAGAGAAGACCGCCGUGCAAACGGUAAGGGUGAAAGGGUGCGGUAAGAGCGCACCGUGCCAUCGGUAACGGUUGGCAGCAGGGUAAACUCCACUCGUAGCAAGACCAAAUAGGAACUCAAUGGAUGGCCCGUCCAGAGUUCGGGUAGGUCGCUUGAGCGGCGGGGUAAUUCGUCGCCUAGAGGAAUGAUUGUCCACGACAGAACUCGGCUUAUCGACCAACUCAAUAU